CGUGGGUAUCUACCCAGUGGUAAGGAAUAACUCAGGGAAACCUGGGCUAAUACCUUAUAAGCCCUCAGGGGGAAAGAUUUAUCGCCAUUGGAUGAGCCCGCGUCGGAUUAGCUAGUUGGUAGGGUAAAAGCCUACCAAGGCGACGAUCCGUAGCUGGUCUGAGAGGAUGAUCAGCCACACUGGGACUGAGACACGGCCCAGACUCCUACGGGAGGCAGCAGUGGGGAAUAUUGGACAAUGGGCGCAAGCCUGAUCCAGCCAUGCCGCGUGAGUGAUGAAGGCCUUAGGGUUGUAAAACUCUUUCACCGGUGAAGAUAAUGACGGUAGCCGGAGAAGAAGCCCCGGCUAACUCCGUGCCAGCAGCCGCGGUAAUACGGAGGGGGCUAGCGUUGUUCGGAAUUACUGGGCGUAAAGCGCGCGUAGGCGGACUGGUCAGUUGGGGGUGAAAUCCCAAGGCUCAACCUUGGAACUGCCUUCAAAACUGCCAGUCUUGAGUCCGGGAGAGGUGAGUGGAAUUCCUAGUGUAGAGGUGAAAUUCGUAGAUAUUAGGAAGAACACCAGUGGCGAAGGCGGCUCACUGGCCCGGUACUGACGCUGAGGUGC
Molecule: ribosomal RNA, 603 nt
Filed under: uncultured Alphaproteobacteria bacterium
Lineage: Bacteria; Pseudomonadati; Pseudomonadota; Alphaproteobacteria
Description: bacterial SSU rRNA
Rfam family: Bacterial small subunit ribosomal RNA
Source: RNAcentral